GUUUGUCGCGUUGUUCGUGAAAUCUCACGGCUUAACUGUGAGCGUGCGGGCGAUACGGGCAGACUUGAGUACUGCAGGGGAGACUGGAAUUCCUGGUGUAGCGGUGGAAUGCGCAGAUAUCAGGAGGAACACCGGUGGCGAAGGCGGGUCUCUGGGCAGUAACUGACGCUGAGGAGCGAAAGCGUGGGGAGCGAACAGGAUUAGAUACCCUGGUAGUCCACGCCGUAAACGGUGGGUACUAGGUGUGGGUUUCCUUCCUUGGGAUCCGUGCCGUAGCUAACGCAUUAAGUACCCCGCCUGGGGAGUACGUCCGCAAGGCUAAAACUCAAAGAAAUUGACGGGCGCCCGCACAACCGGCGGAGCAUGUGGAUUAAUUCGAUGCAACGCGAAGAACCUUACCUGGGUUUGACAUGCACAGGACGCCGGCAGAGAUGUCGGUUCCCUUGUGGCCUGUGUGCAGGUGGUGCAUGGCUGUCGUCAGCUCGUGUCGUGAGAUGUUGGGUUAAGUCCCGCAACGAGCGCAACCCUUGUCUCAUGUUGCCAGCGGGUAAUGCCGGGGACUCGUGAGAGACUGCCGGGGUCAACUCGGAGGAAGGUGGGGAUGACGUCAAGUCAUCAUGCCCCUUAUGUCCAGGGCUUCACACAUGCUACAAUGGCCGGUACAAAGGGCUGCGAUGCCGCGAGGUUAAGCGAAUCCUUUUAAAGCCGGUCUCAGUUCGGAUCGGGGUCUGCAACUCGACCCCGUGAAGUCGGAGUCGCUAGUAAUCG
RNAcentral lists this ribosomal RNA (768 nucleotides) under uncultured bacterium. RNAcentral describes it as "bacterial SSU rRNA". It matches the Rfam family "Bacterial small subunit ribosomal RNA", at positions 578 to 1344 of the family's 1533-position model. The record is from RNAcentral.